AAUAUAGUGCCUGAUUUAAAAGGAUAGCUUUGAUAGAGCUAAUUAUGUAUGCCCAUAUACCUAUAUUA
Molecule: transfer RNA, 68 nt
Filed under: Jonas distinctus
Lineage: Eukaryota; Metazoa; Arthropoda; Malacostraca; Decapoda; Corystidae
Description: tRNA-Ile
Source: RNAcentral